AGGGAGAUCGGAACUGAGGGAGGAGUAGUGACAUGCGUUGAUACCCUCGGGAACACCAGUGGCGUAAGGCGGAUCUCUGGGAGAAGAUUGACACUGAGACACGAAAGCUAGGGGAGCGAAGCAGAUUAGAGACCUGCGUAGUCCUAGCCGUAAACGCAUGCUUGCUAGCUGCAUGAAUCUACCUUCGGGUGGUAUCGUGUGGCGAAGGUAACCCGUUAAGCAAGCCGCCUGGAAAGUACGGCCGCAAGGCUGAAAUUCAAAGGAAUUGGCGGGGAGGCACACAACCAGUGGAACAUGUGGUUUAAUUCGAGACUAACCGAAGAACCUCACCAGGGUUUGACAUGUAGCUGCACGUCUUAAGAAAUUAAGACUCUCUUGAAGGUGCUACACAGGUGCUGCAUGGCUGUCGUCAGCUCGUUCCGUGAGGAGUGCCCUUAAGUGGGACAACGAGCGCAACCCCUAUUACAUGUUAGAAAUGUCAUGUAAGACUGCCUUGCCAUUUGGCGGGGAGGAAGGAGGGGCAGACGUCAAGUCCGCAUGGUCCUUAUGCCAUGGGCUACACACAUGUUACAAUGAGUACGGCAAUGAGUCUGUCGCGAGCACGUAAGUGUAAGCUAAUCUCUUAAAUGUACUCUCAGUGGGGAUUGAGGUCUGCAACUCGACCUCAUGAACACGGAAUUGGUAGUAAUCGCG
This 693-nucleotide ribosomal RNA is filed under the name uncultured organism. Its description in RNAcentral is "bacterial SSU rRNA". It matches the Rfam family "Bacterial small subunit ribosomal RNA", at positions 654 to 1346 of the family's 1533-position model. The record is from RNAcentral.